AGAAGAUACUCUUUCCACUGAUUUUCAAGAAAAAAGUUCUAAGUUCAGCAAAAUGAGAAGUAGUCAGAAGCUUCUCCAUACUAUGGGUCGGAAGGGUUAUUCACGUAUGGCUCACGAUUUGAAAAGAAAGAAUCCAAAUAU
Olea europaea var. sylvestris is the source of this 141-nucleotide long non-coding RNA. RefSeq lists it as uncharacterized. The transcript has 3 exons. The record is from RefSeq and is a predicted model, not a curated record. Lineage: Eukaryota; Viridiplantae; Streptophyta; Magnoliopsida; Lamiales; Oleaceae.